Molecule: long non-coding RNA, 745 nt
Organism: Salvia splendens (bonfire salvia)
Lineage: Eukaryota; Viridiplantae; Streptophyta; Magnoliopsida; Lamiales; Lamiaceae
Exons: 2
Source: RefSeq, a predicted model, not a curated record
CAUGGAAUCUAUAAUUGUAUUGAAGCUGGAAAUAAAGAUGAUGAAUUGGUUUCAACCUUUAAAUCAAGAUAAGAAAAUAUGAAGGGCAAAAACACAUCUCCAAAUCCAGGUAGUUGCUAAUCUAGUGAUAAUGGCGGAUGCUAUGAUUUCAGCUGUGGUGGAGAGAGUUGCAGCUCUAAUUGAGGAAAAGAUUCGGUAGGAAGUCAAUUUGGUGAGAGGUGUUGACAAGGAGCUUGACGAACUUUCCGACAAGCUUAAGACGGUCAGAAAUGUGUUGGAUGAUGCAGAAAAAAGAGGAGUGGACGAUCAAAGCAUCAAACGUUGGCUGAAGAAGCUCGAAACUACGGCAUACGAGAUUGACGACAUUUUGGAUGAAUGGAACUACUCUCUACUAAUCCCCGGCUUCAACUUCGCCAAAGAGUUGCUGAAGUUGAAAUCCCCUGCUGUUGAUUGUUUCUACUUGAGAAAAGAGGGCCAUAUCUGCACGUUCGUCUCAGCAUACUUGCGCGGCUCACACUACAAAAUGUACCACAACUGCAAGAUAAGGUAAGGUUGAUGAUGGCUGAGAAGAUUUGUAGCCUGAUUUUGCAAAUUUGCAGUUAUGAGAUUCUUCAACUCAUCUUUCCUAUGAUAUUUUCUAGUGGGAAAAAAUUUGUUGAUGUUUAUAGUAGUUCUAACAACUGACCUUGUUUUGAAACAAAGUAUUGAUCCUAUUAUGAAUUUAUGAUGAUUUUCACUUCAUUUU